This 74-nucleotide transfer RNA is filed under the name Agenocimbex maculatus. RNAcentral describes it as "tRNA-His". Lineage: Eukaryota; Metazoa; Arthropoda; Insecta; Hymenoptera; Cimbicidae. The record is from RNAcentral.
ACUUAAAUAGUUUAUUUUAAUAAAACAUUGAUUUGUGGUAUCAAAAAAAUAUUUAAAUUUUUAUAUUUUAAGUU